This 436-nucleotide ribosomal RNA is filed under the name uncultured bacterium. RNAcentral describes it as "bacterial SSU rRNA". It matches the Rfam family "Bacterial small subunit ribosomal RNA", at positions 29 to 510 of the family's 1533-position model. The record is from RNAcentral.
AACGAACGCUGGCGGCAGGCCUAACACAUGCAAGUCGAACGCUCGUAGCAAUACGAGAGUGGCAGACGGGUGAGUAACACGUGGGAACCUUCCCUAUGGUUCGGAAUAGCCCAGGGGAAACUUGGGGUAAUACCGGAUAAGCCCUUCGGGGAAAGAUUUAUCGCCAUUGGAUGGGCCCGCGUCGGAUUAGCUAGUUGGUGAGGUAACGGCUCACCAAGGCGACGAUCCGUAGCUGGUCUGAGAGGAUGAUCAGCCACACUGGGACUGAGACACGGCCCAGACUCCUACGGGAGGCAGCAGUGGGAAUAUUGGACAAUGGGCGCAAGCCUGAUCCAGCCAUGCCGCGUGAGUGACGAAGCCUUAGGGUUGUAAAGCUCUUUUGGCGGGAAGAUAAUGACGGUACCCGACAGAAUAAGCUCCGGCUAACUUCGUGCCA